This 91-nucleotide non-coding RNA is filed under the name Candidatus Dwaynesavagella gallinarum. RNAcentral describes it as "Purine riboswitch". It matches the Rfam family "Purine riboswitch aptamer", at positions 7 to 96 of the family's 102-position model. From Rfam's summary of the family: Riboswitches are metabolite binding domains within certain messenger RNAs that serve as precision sensors for their corresponding targets. Allosteric rearrangement of mRNA structure is mediated by ligand binding, and this results in modulation of gene expression. A class of riboswitches that selectively recognises guanine and becomes saturated at concentrations as low as 5 nM. Lineage: Bacteria; Bacillati; Bacillota; Clostridia; Eubacteriales; Clostridiaceae. The record is from RNAcentral.
GAUUUUAAAAAUCUCUCGUAUAUCGUCGGAAAUAUGGUCCGAAAGUUUCUACCUACUCACCGUAAAAGAGUAGACUACGGGUGGUAAUCGU